RNAcentral lists this long non-coding RNA (200 nucleotides) under Chinchilla lanigera (long-tailed chinchilla). RNAcentral's name for it is "lncRNA (ENSCLAG00000023938.1)". Lineage: Eukaryota; Metazoa; Chordata; Mammalia; Rodentia; Chinchillidae. The record is from RNAcentral.
CGGAUACCUGGUUUCCUGCAGUGCUGACCCUGACCACGGCUCUUUUCCUGACGUGUCUGUAUGCUCUUGCCUGGUGCCUCUUCAAAGAUACUCCUGCUUCUUCAAGACUAUUCCCUCACCGUCACAGAUCAGGUCAGUCAAGUCUCACCACCGAGGAGCCUGGGCUGGUACCAAGGUAAAAGUAGAUUUGAUGUUUUGCA